UACAGAGGUCCCGAGCGUUGUUCGGAUUCAUUGGGCGUAAAGGGUGCGUAGGCGGUUUUCUAAGUUUGAUGUGAAAUCCCGGGGCUCAACCCUGGAAUUGCAUUGAAUACUGGGAGACUAGAGUACUGGAGAGGAAACUGGAAUUUACGGUGUAGCAGUGAAAUGCGUAGAUAUCAAGUGGAACACCAGUGGCGAAGGCGAGUCUCUGGGCCGAUAUUGACGCUGAGGAGCGAAAGCGUGGGGAGCGAACAGG
This 253-nucleotide ribosomal RNA is filed under the name uncultured bacterium. RNAcentral describes it as "partial 16S ribosomal RNA". It matches the Rfam family "Bacterial small subunit ribosomal RNA", at positions 524 to 776 of the family's 1533-position model. The record is from RNAcentral.